AAAAAAAAAAGGUGGGAUAUCCUGAGAGCUCAAACCUCUGCCAAGGCUUAGUAAAAAAAUUAAGCCAGAAAGUUUCACACAAAUAAUUGGACAAAAGGCCAAGAUGAAAACAAAAACAGGUAACAACUUAACUUUAUGAUAAAGUGCUACUUAAGGUGCUUCACGACCUGUAGGUUUAAUAUUGAUGUCCUCAUCCAUAGUGAUCAGAUUGAUAGAGGACAGGGAGUUGAGGUUUUUCAGACACAGUUCUACAUUAGGAGAGGGGAAACAGAAUUUUAAAUUGAAAUUAGGAGAUAGUAGCACCUUCCACAAUUAUCCCAAUAUAACAAAGAAUAACGAAUGAGGAUUCUGUGAAUCUGUUUGAAUAAUCUCCAGAUCCACACAAUGGAUAAUUCAUCCAUCCUUACAUCUAUUCUCCAUAAUGCAGGAGAAUUUGAGCCUAUCCAAGUUGACUUUAGACAAGAGGCAAGGUACACCCUGGACAGGUCGCCAGUCAAUCGCUGGGCACAUUUAGAGUUUUCAAUUAAAUGCACAUGAUUUUUUGAGAAUGUGGGAGGACAUCUGAGUACCUGAGUAGCUAUGGACAAUUAACUCCAAGAAAGAAAAGCAAAAGCCUACCUUGAAGUUUUGAUUCAAUUCCACACUUGUCUAUGUCAGCAGAGAAACCUGAAAUGCGCUCGGAUGUAGAGGAAGGUGGAGCGUAUCCAGUCCAGAGCCAUGUUGACAUCGCUGAUGGUUUGGAGAACUAUCUCGGCAUUCAGGUGCUCCACCAGGCCGCCUGCUGGGAGGAUUUGACGCUCGCUGCAGAUGAGACCAGAGGAGGGGGGAGGGAGGAGGCUGGCUGGAAGGGGAAAGGAGAAGCGCCCUGGC
Phyllopteryx taeniolatus (common seadragon) is the source of this 870-nucleotide long non-coding RNA. RefSeq lists it as uncharacterized. The transcript has 3 exons. The record is from RefSeq and is a predicted model, not a curated record. Lineage: Eukaryota; Metazoa; Chordata; Actinopteri; Syngnathiformes; Syngnathidae.